RNAcentral lists this unclassified non-coding RNA (367 nucleotides) under Hevea brasiliensis (rubber tree). The record is from RNAcentral. Lineage: Eukaryota; Viridiplantae; Streptophyta; Magnoliopsida; Malpighiales; Euphorbiaceae.
CUUCCAUUUCUCAUCCCUACUCUCUUAUCUCUGUUUUCAAUUAGCUCUUUUAUUUAAUGGCCGAGACACCAUCAAAACGCCUCAGAGAUGAAGCUCAAAUAGAAGAAGAUGUUAUCGUUGUUGAUGAAACUAAUAAGCGCCAUAAGUCAUAUAACCACAUACUCACUCUUCUUGAAGAAGAAGAAGAUGAAAUAACCCAAGACCUUUCUUCUCUCAUCACUACACUUCAGCAAGAACUCUCCUCUGACUCUACCUUCAACGACCCUCUUUCUUGUGUAACCACAGUAACCGACCAAGAAAACCCUAUCAAUGCCGUAACGCCCACCUUAGAAGACUGCCCAUCUUCUUCUUCUUCUUCUUCUUCUUC